UUAAAACCCAAAGGAUUUGACGGUGUCCCAUCCAACUAGAGGAGCCUGUUCUAUAAUCGAUAACCCCCGAUAUACCUAACCCCCCCUUGCCAAUCAGCCUGUAUACCUCCGUCGUAAACUCACCAUAUGAAUGCCAACAGUAAGUUUAAUGAUUUAUCAUCAAUACGUCAGGUCAAGGUGCAGCUCAUGAUGGGGAAAGCAAUGGGCUACAAUUUCUAAAAUAGAACCACGGAAUGCUCUAUGAAACACAGCAUGAAGGCGGAUUUAGUAGUAAAAAGUAAAUAAAGUGUUCUUUUUAAUAAGGCCCUAGGACGUGUACACACCGCCCGUCACCCUCUUCAACAGCACAUUAUAUGUUUUUAACAAGUUCUGCACUCUAGAAGAGGCAAGUCGUAACAUGGUAAGUGUACUGGAAAGUGUACUUG
RNAcentral lists this ribosomal RNA (425 nucleotides) under Limnonectes kuhlii (Kuhl's wart frog). Its description in RNAcentral is "partial 12S ribosomal RNA". It matches the Rfam family "Bacterial small subunit ribosomal RNA", at positions 894 to 1520 of the family's 1533-position model. Lineage: Eukaryota; Metazoa; Chordata; Amphibia; Anura; Dicroglossidae. The record is from RNAcentral.